This 2437-nucleotide ribosomal RNA is filed under the name Morganella morganii. Its description in RNAcentral is "partial 23S ribosomal RNA". It matches the Rfam family "Bacterial large subunit ribosomal RNA", at positions 1 to 2532 of the family's 2925-position model. Lineage: Bacteria; Pseudomonadati; Pseudomonadota; Gammaproteobacteria; Enterobacterales; Morganellaceae. The record is from RNAcentral.
GGUCAAGUUAUUAAGGGUGCAGGGCGGAUGCCUUGGCACUAGGAGCCGAUGAAAGACGUGAUAAGCUGCGAUAAGCUUCGGGGAGUGGCACAUACACUUUGAUCCGGAGAUUUCUGAAUGAGGAAACUCACUUGGAGUAAUGUCCAAGUAUCCUUAGGUGAAUACAUAGCCUAAGGAGGGGAACUCAGGGAACUGAAACAUCUAAGUACCUGAAGGAAGAGAAAGAAAUUCGAUUCCGCUAGUAGCGGCGAGCGAACGCGGAAGAGCCCAAACCAAGUUAGUUUACUAAUUUGGGGUUGCGGACAUAUCUUAAGGAGUAGUUAUUGCGAGUGGAAGAGUUCUGGAAAGUUCUACCACAGAGGGUAAUAGUCCCGUACACAAAGCCAAGAAGACUCUUGAUAUGAUCCAGAGUACCACGAGACACGUGAAACCUUGUGGGAAGCAGGGGGGACCACCCCCCAAGGCUAAAUACUACCUAGUGACCGAUAGCGUAUAGUACCGUGAGGGAAAGGUGAAAAGAACCCCGGGAGGGGAGUGAAAUAGAACCUGAAACCCUGCACUUACAAUCUGUGGGAGCGCAUUACUGGCGUGACCGCGUACUUUUUGUAGAACGGGCCAACGAGUUACGUUAUGUGGCAAGGUUAAGCACUUAAGGUGUGGAGCCGUAGCGAAAGCGAGUCUUAACUGGGCGACAUAGUCACAUGACGUAGACCCGAAACCGGGCGACCUACCCAUGAGCAGGAUGAAGCGAAAGUAAAAUUUCGUGGAGGUCCGAACCCACGUACGUUGAAAAGUGCGGGGAUGACUUGUGGGUAGCGGUGAAAUUCCAAUCGAGCUCGGAGAUAGCUGGUUCUCCUCGAAAUAGCUUUAGGGCUAGCCUUGAAUGUAGAGAUGUGGAGGUAGAGCACUGAAUGUCCUAGGGGGUAUUGCACUUACCGAAGACUAUCAAACUCCGAAUGCCAUAAUCUUUUAUUCAGGAGUCAGACUAUGGGUGAUAAGGUUCAUAGUCGAAAGGGAAAGAGCCCAGACCGUCAGCUAAGGUCCCUAAAUGUAUGUUAAGUGGUAAAGGAUGUGGGAUUGCAUAGACAACCAGGAUGUUGGCUUAGAAGCAGCCAUUCAUUUAAAGAGUGCGUAAUAGCUCACUGGUCGAGUGAUCCUGCGCCGAAGAUUUCCGGGGCUAAAACAUACUACCGAAGCUACGGCAUCGAAAGAUGGGUAGAGGAGCUUCCCAUGCAGGAUGAAGCAGUACCGUAAGGAGCUGUGGACAGUAUGGGAGAGAGAAUGUUGGCAUGAGUAGCGAGAUGAAGGUGAGAAUCCUUCAGGCCGUAAACCCAAGGUUUCCAGGGGAAGGUUCGUCCUCCCUGGGUUAGUCGGGACCUAAGCUCAGGCCGAAAGGCGUAGGCGAUGGACAACAGGUUGAAAUUCCUGUACUACCGAUAAUCGUUUGAGAGAUGGGAUGACACAGUAGGAUAAGCUGAGCACACUGUUGGUUAUGUGUGUCUAAGUAUUGAGGCAGAUCGAAUAGGCAAAUCCGUUUGAUUAAUGCUAGGAUACGAUGGGGAGCGAAACUAAGUAGCGAAGCAGCUGAUUUCACACUGUCGAGAAAAGUCUCUAUCGAGAUUAAAGGUACCCGUACCGCAAACCGACACAGGUGGGUGAGGAGAGUAUCCUAAGGCCAGCGAGAGAACUGUUGUUAAGGAACUCGGCAAAAUGACCCCGUAACUUAGGGAUAAGGGGUGCCCCAGAAAUGGGGCCGCAGAGAAUUGGCCCAAGCGACUGUUUACCAAAAACAUAGGUUUCUGCUAAGUCGCAAGACGAUGUAUAGGAGCUACGGCGGCCGUAACUAUAACGGUCCUAAGGUAGCGAAAUUCCUUGUCGGGUAAGUUCCGACCCGCACGAAAGGCGUAACGAUUUGGGCACUGUCUCAACAACAGACUCGGUGAAAUUGUAGUCCCGGUGAAGAUGCCGGGUACCUGCGACAGGACGGAAAGACCCCAUGGAGCUUUACUGUAGCUUGACAUUGGGUCUCGGUACUACAUGUACAGGAUAGGUGGGAGACUGAGAAAUCUGGGCGUCAGUUUAGAUGGAGUCAUCCUUGGGAUACCACCCUUGUAGUAUUGGGACUCUAACCAUAGGCCAUGAAUCUGGUCUUGGGACACUGUCUGGUGGGCAGUUUGACUGGGGCGGUCGCCUCCCAAAAGGUAACGGAGGCGCUCAAAGGUUCCCUCAGUACGGUCGGAAAUCGUACGAAGAGUGUAAAGGCAAAAGGGAGCUUGAUUGCAAGACAUACAGGUCGAGCAAGGUAGAAAUACGGACUUAGUGAUCCGGUGGUUCUGCGUGGAAGGGCCAUCGCUCAACGGAUAAAAGCUACCCUGGGGAUAACAGGCUUAUCUCCCCCAAGAGUCCACAUCGACGGGGAGGUUUGGCACCUCGAUGU